GUGGCACGUCCAGGGACAGCAGCCAAGACGAGCGCCAGGUCCACUUUGGGCCUUCGAAACAAACCUGUCUUUCAGCCUGGCCGCGAACGCACGAGUACUUCUAAAUGGAAAUGUUAGGAAAGCAGAGAAAAGGAUUAAAUCUCCGAAAGUAUCCAUCCACUCAGGCAAAAAUAACGCUCAUGACUCACCCCUCAAAGGGAGCGAACAGAAGUGGAAACGCUUCCCCCCUUCUAGGAAAAAUACAAAUGACAGUGACAACCAGGCUACACAGAGGUCAAGGAAGGGGUCCAGGAAGUAAGCAGCGAUUUGCAGACACAGCCCCACUGCAGAUGAGACACCAGUACACAGAGUGGUCAACUGCCCGCUGCCUAUGAGUUUUCAGUAUUAAACAAAUUCAAUGGUUCUGAAUAUAUGCAACAGGAUCAUACAUUACGCAGUGUUCUGAGUGCUUCAGGCAGCCGAUGCAAAAAGCCUUGCAUUUUGGGGGACUUUCCCCCUUUAAUGUACAGCCCCUCAGAGUCCACCUCAGAGGCCACCCCAGAGCCCAUGUUUUUAACAUUGGCAGGUGUCCCUGAUGUCCCCUUGGAACUGGGUGAGACUGACAACGAAAGGCCCCAGCUCAGGCAGUUGCGGGCGGAGGGCAUCUGGGAGGCUUUGCACCCCACCCACCGCCCUGGGUUCUCCACAUCAUCGCUGCGCCUCGCCUUCCACUAAUCACCGAGUCACAUUUCUGGAUUUCAGUGUAAUUGCUGCUGACUGUCCUGUGGAGACUGCGGGAAAUUAGGCGAUUGCAGGCCUGGUUAUCUGGUGCAAUGAGGAAAGACAUCAUUUCAAAGGAUCAAGACGCUGAAAUCAUUUUAAAGCUCGCACUUGAGAGGAAUAUGGAUGGCGUAAAGGAAAGACAGUGAGGAACAGUUUAAAUGAUGCCAACCGCACGAUGGUAAAGGCAGGCUCUGCAUUCUGGGAGAUAAUCAAUGAGGGAGUGUCAGCGCCUGCUUAUUGAAAGGUCAACCUAAGGUGUCUCUGAGGCUCCCGCUGGCAACAGGAGUGAAGUAAUACGUAACUUGAAAAUAUGUGUUUUGCUUUCGUUCAGUUGUGAAAUAACAAUAUUAUGAUCUCAAGCCAGAAGGAGACCCAGCUAUUUCCUAUGCAGCUAAGUCAUUUUUUCUUAUCUCUUUGGUUUUGUUUUGUUGUUCACAGGCUCUUGGAAGUCAGAAAAUACAGACUUCUAAUUCAGUGCUCUGUUCAUUAACUCACACCUCUUCUUAAGACUUUGUAGAUCAAGGUUGGGAACCUGAACCUGGACCACAGAGCUCAAAGUCUCCGACAUCUGAUGACAUCGGUGGAUCUAAAGCAAUCCUUUUUUUUUUUUUCUUAAGAAAAUGUACUUAUUUAUUUUUUAGACAGAAGGGAAGCGAGGGAGAAAGAGGGAGAGAAACAUCAGUGUGUGGUUGUCCCUCACACGCCCCCUACUGGGGACCUGGCCUGCAACCCAGGCACGUGCCCUAAAUGAGAAUCAAACUGGCGACCCUUGGGUUCGCAGGCCGGUUCUCAACCCACUGAGCCACACCAGCCAGUGCUAAAGCAAUGUUUUCAUGGCCGUGAACUAAUGACCUUUCAAGGACUCAUGGAGAGGUGUUCUCAUCUUCAUCCUUCCACUGGUCCAGCCACAUCUUCAUCCCACCCCUCAUCCCUACCCACUUGGAAUCACAUGAUCCUCAGGGUCUCGUGAGACAACGUGGUGAGGACAGAGCCGAGUGCACUUGCCAGUGUCAGAGAAAGGGAGAGAGGGAAAUCUGUGUUGUAGAGCAUUCACGUGGCCGAGGAGACGAAGCUGGCCGUAGACCAAGGGUGUGACUGUGAGUACGAAGAGGAGGUAUAAGAGACAUUAAAAAAAAAACACAGUGCUUGAUGACGCGUUGUGAAUAGAGAGAUCUGAGAAUUAUCCUCAGAGCCUGUCUCUGCAUGCUUUCGUUUUUAUCCUGAAUAAAUGAGAGUUGAGAGUAUGACUAUCGUGGUCACUGGGACUGUCGCACACAAUAAAAGCCUCUCAGCUGACCAGACUCGAGUUGAAACAAGCCAUUCAGGAGCCCCCUAAUAACCGCCAGCAUCUCCAACGUCUCCAAGAAUCCUCUGCUUGGGAUGCUCUUUGCAAAUAACAACACAGCGGAAACUAGAAUCAUGGAUUCCCCCACUGGGCACUGCUCACUGUCUAAAUGAAUGUCAACUAAUGGGGUUAAAAUGUGUGGGGCGGAAAGUGGAGGGAGGCUGAAAGCUCUCAGCACACACAUUUGCCGGAAUCCACACAAAGAGCGACGGGAAUUGGAAUGGAAAUAGAACCGGGAGCACCAGACAGAACUAAUUCAAAGUCAUCAGUGUUCCCGGCAGGCGUCCAGUGAAAGGGAAAGGUACCCUAUUCAGCUCCACAAGUUUGCCAAACUGAAGGGCCUAGAGUGGUGUGGGCCGGCAAAUAGGUGACUCCCUUUUAUUCUUCGGGUGGGAAG
Molecule: long non-coding RNA, 2504 nt
Organism: Artibeus jamaicensis (Jamaican fruit-eating bat)
Lineage: Eukaryota; Metazoa; Chordata; Mammalia; Chiroptera; Phyllostomidae
Exons: 5
Source: RefSeq, a predicted model, not a curated record